UACGUAGGGGGCUAGCGUUGUCCGGAAUCAUUGGGCGUAAAGAGCGCGUAGGCGGCCCGGUAAGUCCGCUGUGAAAGUCGGGGGCUCAACCCUCGAAUGCCGGUGGAUACUGUCGGGCUAGAGUGCGGAAGAGGCGAGUGGAAUUCCUGGUGUAGCGGUGAAAUGCGCAGAUAUCAGGAGGAACACCAAUUGCGAAGACAGCUCGCUGGGACGUAACUGACGCUGAGACGCGAAAGCGUGGGGAGCAAACAGG
RNAcentral lists this ribosomal RNA (253 nucleotides) under uncultured bacterium. RNAcentral's name for it is "partial 16S ribosomal RNA". It matches the Rfam family "Bacterial small subunit ribosomal RNA", at positions 524 to 776 of the family's 1533-position model. The record is from RNAcentral.